GGGCUAGGGACUGUGGUUUCUCUGGUUCUGCCAUGUUUUGACUCUGUUUCUACACAUCGCCUUAAACCUCCCCCAGCUACAGAGCAUAAUUGUUUCAUUAGCUGCCUUGUCUCCACUGCCAGGCUUAGUGAUUGCUUGUGAUCAAUAACUUUGGUUUCUAAGGAUACCUAGCCCAGCGCCUGACCAAGCCCUCCGUGCCCCUCAGUGGCCAGCCUCAAGGAGGCUGCACUCUUGUGGACAGCAGCCAGGCUAGCUCUUGCUCCUCAUCUACCCUAGCAUCCGUCACACUUUCGUUGGUGCUCUGUCUCACAAACUUCACUUAGCAGCAGACAGAAAACUCUUCAGGUCCCUUUACAGCUGGCCUUUGCAGGUGGCUUAGUUUCAACAGCACAGCGCAGUACUAACAACUUGGUUUCUGUAGUGAGGGCAGAGAGCACAGACAACAGAACAGUCCUGGAGGAUGGAAAGCUGUCGUGGCAAAAGCUGCAUCCAGAUGUGCUGGCCACUUCCUGAUUUAGGCCUGGUAAGUGGGGAAUUGGAGGUUCCCUGUGGAAACAAGGUGAUUGGCUGUGUGACCCACCCAUAGCUGCCUGUCUUGCAGUCUGAAGUUCUCUGCGUUCCUGUUGCGUUUGAUGUCGUGUUGCUUCAGCUCUGAUUGACUACACUCUGCCUCUAGAGCUCGUUGUCUCUAGCCCAGCUGGUAGGAAGGACAAGUGGAGGCCUGUCCACAGCCUUCUCCCUCUGCUCCUCCUGCCCCUAUAGCCAGCAGUGCAGGAUGAGCAGACACGGGCCAGGACGGACGGGAAGUAGCAACAGAUGGACUUCGGGUCAGGGUGGAACGAGUUGCUUUGUACCCAGGGCCUGAUGUAUGCUCAGCCCACACUGCCAUUGAGCAGCAUCCCCCCUCCCCCAGCCCCAAUCCAGUAUUUUUAAUUUCCAGUUUUCAAUUUUCUAGUAUUGUAUCUGGAAUUGGACAUUUGUAGAAAAUGAAACUAGGCUUUGGAAUUAGUAAUGUCCAAGGCAGACAGAUUAUAAAGGACAAAAAUAGAGCCUUGAGCCUUAUAGGUGUGUGUGGGACAGGGUGUCACUCAACAAGUGUGGCUCUGCAGGUAGGGUCAUUGCAUAGAGUGAAUGAAAAGCCACACAUGUAAAUGACCUGUCAUUUAAACAUCAAAAGCAUGUUUAAAGAAGUUUUGGGGGCUGACUGGUACAGAUGCCUGUUCCUAGUACACAGAAGCUGAGGGGAGGGGAUGCCUUUUAUUUUUAAUUACAUGUCUGUAUAUGUGACUGGGGCGGGGCGUGGGUGGUGGUGCAGGUAACCAGAGAGGACAGAGACCUCAGAGCCCCUGGACAUGGGUUCUGGCACUGAAUUCAAGUUCUCUGCAACAGUAGUGUGUGUUCUUAACCACUGAGCCAUCUCGUUUAGCCCCCUGAUUUUUAUUUAUGGCAUAUCAGCACUUUAAAGACUCGUGUGGAGUGGUGGAAAGCAGGCGCAGAGCAGGGCCAAAGGAAGCUGGGUGUAUAUAGUGCUGGGACAGACCGGAUGAGGUAUAGUUCCUUCCAUAGGACUGUCUGGUAGGGUAGUACUGAUGAGAAUAGGGUAUCCUGGCCAUGUUAGAAAUCUCAACUGUGCCUUUGCCCUCAGCUUUUGUAUUGUCGGAGAAUCUUUACCUAAGGCAGGAUCUGGAGACUUGGCCUUGCCUGAAGAAGAACCAGCACUGUGAUCCAGGGCGGGGCUUGGGUCAUACAGCUGAUGGCUGUAAUUAGGUAACCGUGAAUGCUUUGGAUAGCCAGGUGUGGUAGCCUGCACCUAAAAUGCUAGCAUGUACAAAGUCAAGGCCAGCAUGAGCUACAGGAGAUCCUGUCUCAUCCAAAAAAUAAAGUAACAAACCUCUUGGAUGUUGUGGGACCGUUCCAUGUAGCUGUGACACAGUGGCCUUGGGAGAGUGCUAUGGCCUGACUCCACAGAGAGAGAGGACCUUUGAGGCUCGGCACUCAGAACAUGUCCUGGACCAAACUUCAAUCUCCCCUGGGCCAUGUUAACCAGUGUCCUUCCCUGAAGGACAACUGACCGAGCCCUGAAUCCUAAUGAAUUUCCCAACCUUGGAGUGGUGUUGCGAACACCAAAACCUACCUUUGGUGGGAAGUGAGGCACUGUGCCUUAACUGGCCAGUUCAGGUUGAUCAGAGGACUCAGGCCACUGUCAUUAGUGGCGAAUGGCAAGAGCUUACUGUGUCUCCAGCCUGCUGUAUCUGCUUCUUGACUAACUGUGGUCUGCAUCGCCUCUCAAGUUACCUGAAGGGCAAAGGACCCAGCCGAAGGACACUUGGAUGCGUUUGUUUCCUUAUAAAGGUAAACAGGGUUUUCUCACAUCAGAGUCAUUUCUGUGAGAUUCUUCAAGGAACAAGCCAGUUUCCCAGAAGGAACAGCUCUCUCUUUGAACCUCCACUGUGUUGGAAAAUCCCUAAGCAAUUCAUACAAAUUGAAACUAAAUCCGGAGCUGGGCAUGUUCACACAUGCCUGAGGCUCAACACUUGGUAGAUCAGGAGUCCAGGUUAUCCUCUCAAAACAGCAACAAAUGUAAAUAACUCUUUUUUUUAUUUCAUUUUUUUCUUUUUUAAUAUUUUUUAUUAGGUAUUUUCCUCAUUUACAUUUCCAAUGCUAUCCCAAAAGUCCCCCAUACUCUCCCCCCCCCUUGUAACUCUUGAAAGACUAUUCUAUUUGAAUACAGAUUUAUCUGUAGAUACAAUGUCAUGAAUGACUUGUUUAAAUACAAUUUUAGGGGGCAAGAAUCCCAGCAGUGCUAUUAUGCAUGUAUACACACACACACACACACACACACAUGAAUAAAGUUUAUGCUCAUUUAAAGCUGGAUAUUCUUCCUACAGUUGAUGUAGAACUUUAUAAUGUAUUAGGAAAGAAAUUGACAAAGUUUAUGAAGCCUAAUAUUUUGAAUCAUGAGCAAGUCAAAGUAUGUUUUUAAACGUUUUUUUACUUUG
This 2999-nucleotide long non-coding RNA is filed under the name Mus musculus (house mouse). Its description in RNAcentral is "long non-coding RNA chr6:147070992-147073991". Lineage: Eukaryota; Metazoa; Chordata; Mammalia; Rodentia; Muridae. The record is from RNAcentral.